RNAcentral lists this transfer RNA (75 nucleotides) under Verrucomicrobiaceae bacterium. RNAcentral's name for it is "tRNA-His". It matches the Rfam family "tRNA". Rfam says of the family: Transfer RNA (tRNA) molecules are approximately 80 nucleotides in length. Their secondary structure includes four short double-helical elements and three loops (D, anti-codon, and T loops). Lineage: Bacteria; Pseudomonadati; Verrucomicrobiota; Verrucomicrobiia; Verrucomicrobiales; Verrucomicrobiaceae. The record is from RNAcentral.
GUGGCUGUAGCACAAUGGUAGUGCACUAGAUUGUGGUUCUGGCCGUUGCGGGUUCGAGUCCCGUCAGCCACCCCA